Long non-coding RNA from Homo sapiens (human), 1901 nucleotides. NCBI's taxonomy places the organism in Eukaryota, Metazoa, Chordata, Mammalia, Primates, Hominidae. The record is from Ensembl.
GCAGAGAUGGGAGGGACAGCACAGUGGCUUCUCAGAAUUGAAUAUGGUGUUAGACUUCUAAAAGAGCUGUGGUAGAGGGAGAAAACUGUCAAAGGAAAUCAGUAACUGUUAAAGGAAAAUACCUUAAACGUCCUGUUUUCAGGCUGACUAAUGCCUUAGGGGAGCAAAUGAGCAACAGAAACGAUAUGAGCAACUGCUGUUCUUUCAAAAUACCCAGGCAGAGGAACCGGCAGACGAUGGGCAGCAUCGAACAAACAACUGAGAUCCUGUUGUGCCUAUCACCUGUUGAAGUUGCCAGUCUUAAGGAAGGAAUCAAUUUCUUUCGCAAUAAGAGCACUGGCAAAGACUACGUCUUGUACAAGAAUAAGAGCCGACUGAGGGCAUGCAAGAAUAUGUGCAAGCACCAAGGAGGCCUGUUCAUAAAAGAUAUCGAGGAUUUAGCCGGAAGUUGUUGAAAUGGAUGAAAACAACGGACUUUUGCUUUUAGAACUGAAUCCUCCUAACCCUUGGGACUUACAGCCCAGAUCUCCUGAAGAGUUGGCUUUUGGAGAAGUACAGAUAACAUAUCUCACUCAUGCCUGCAUGGACCUCAAGUUAGGAGACAAGAGAAUGGUGUUUGACCCUUGGUUAAUCGGUCCUGCUUUUGCCCGUGGAUGGUGGUUGCUCCAUGAGCCUCCAUCUGAUUGGCUGGAGAGGCUGUGCCAGGCAGACCUCAUUUACAUCAGUCAUCUGCACUCAGACCACCUGAGUUACCCCACACUGAAAAAGCUUGCUGGGAGAAGACCAGAUAUUCCCAUUUAUGUUGGAAACACAGAAAGGCCUGUAUUUUGGAAUCUGAAUCAGAGCGGUGUCCAGUUGACUAAUAUCAAUGUCGUGCCAUUUGGAAUAUGGCAGCAGGUGGACAAAAAUCUUCGAUUCAUGAUCUUGAUGGACGGUGUUCAUCCUGAGAUGGACACUUGCAUUAUUGUGGAGUACAAAGGUCAUAAAAUACUCAAUAUAGUAGACUGCACCAGACCCAAUGGGGGAAGGCUGCCUAUGAAGGUUGCUCUAAUGAUGAGUGAUUUUGCUGGAGGAGCAUCAGGCUUUCCAAUGACUUUCAGUGGUGGAAAAUUUACGGCAGAGGAGACUCUAAUCUAAAUCCUGUCAUUUCAGAGGAAUGGAAAGCCCAAUUCAUUAAAACAGAAAGGAAGAAGCUCCUGAACUACAAGGCUCGGCUGGUGAAGAACCUGCAACCCCGAAUUUAUUGUCCCUUUGCUGGGUAUUUUGUGGAAUCUCACCCAUCAGACAAGUAUGGCUAGACACUUUGUACAUUUUUACAUACAACUUAACGUAUGGUGGAAUGAGCGACUUUGCUGUGAAAGCAGUGUGACAUGAGAAGGAAAGUGAUUAGUAGGUGUCUGGAACUUUUUAACAAGCUGCUGGAGAACCCAGAGCAUGAAUAAAAGUUACACUUGGCAGCCAGGAACUCUUUCAGGAGAUAAAAUAACAGAUAGAUAUUCUCCGAAAGGAUCCCAGGAAAGAGGAUGGCAACUGCCAUUUAUUAUGUGAAGUGAACUGGGGACUUUUAACUAAGCCAUCUAAGUUAAUCUCCCAAUAGCACUAUGCGUAGGAAGGGGGUAUUGUUCCUUUUUUGCAGAUAAGGAAUCUGAAACUCAGAAAGGUCAAGGGACGUGCCCAAAGUCACCCUGUUGGAAACAUGAGUUGAGAAUGGAACCCUGGUAUGCUUAGUUCUAAAGCUCUUUUCUCUAUACCAUACUGCAUUCCAGAAUAGAAUUAUGUCUUUCUUCUCAUGUUUUAGGUAUCUAAUGUGAUUUUUCUUGCAGCAAUAUAACUUCUGCAAAUACUAUGAAUCAUCACCAAUGUAUGAAAUUGUUGAAAGAAAUAAAAGACCAUGAAUUUGA